Felis catus (domestic cat) is the source of this 2446-nucleotide long non-coding RNA. RefSeq lists it as uncharacterized. NCBI's taxonomy places the organism in Eukaryota, Metazoa, Chordata, Mammalia, Carnivora, Felidae. The record is from RefSeq and is a predicted model, not a curated record. The transcript is spliced from 3 exons.
ACCACCACCUGCAUUUUAAGGAUUUAUGUUGUAAGUCAAUCCAGUGCCUUGGUAUCUUCGGUGAAGGUCACUGCUGGGAGUGAUGAGAAAGUAGAACAGUUAUGAUUCGGGCAGUGGUACAUAAGCUUGUAGAAGAAUAAAAUUCUCUUUGUUUUGCUUGCAGAACCUAAAUUUCUUCCACCUGCUUCCCUUCCUUCUUGGUUUCAGAGAAGCUAACCCUGUUAUAGCUGGACAUUACCGUAUUAAAAUUUAAUCUCCUUUCAUCAGUCUGGUCCAGAAAAUCUUUCCAUUUCAGUACGAGUAUUAUUACAGCUUCAGUCCGUAUCCAUUUUGGAGCUGAGCUUCUGCGUUUCCUCUCCCUUAGAGAUCCAGUGGGCCCGGGCCUCCAUCCCAAAGCAUGGAGUGGGUGGAGAAGGUGGGUGGCUGAGACGAAGUGGCCUCCUUUCUCGGCCUCAUCUGGUUCUGUGAAGUUGCUGCUGCCUGCUGUGUGCAAUGGUGACCAGGACUGAGGCUGAUGUCGCAUCACCGGAUAGCACACGAGAUGUCCUUUGGGUAUCCUGCCCAACUUCCUAGGUUUGUUUUCUUUACAGCAAAGCACACCCCACUUCUGCGAACUGGCCCUGGGGAGAGAGCAAGUGGUCUGGCUUUGUGAGGAAUACAAGGGAAAUGGGGAAAGAAAAGAAUCAGCCAACAAAAGAAAUUAUUUCCUGGAGAUAUGCAAAAUGAGAAGACACGCCAUCAAUCUACGUAAUUCUUUGUUUUGAUGUGUGAUUGUAGACAGGGCUACAAAGGAGAGCUUCCAGGCACGGUAAGUGUCCAACCCUGUCGGUGUUAGUUCCCGCAAAAGUCCAAUAAGGAAAAAAAAAAAAAGUGUGAUGGGUUUGAGCAUUAUUUGAAGGAGCACUGAGAAUCAAGAACAGGCAGCUCUGAGAGAUAAAUGACCUCAAGGCUCUCAUUUAGAAAUGAGGCCCUCCUGGGAUAGGGGACAACUGGAGGCCCACCGGCCACUAGAAGCAUCAAGAUCAUGAGAGCACACCUCCCUCUGGCGUGUGAGUGUUCUUUCUACGAGUCCAGAUUAAUCAGUGAAGAAUCGUUGUCCUUCACCAUGCUUACAAGUCCCAGCCUCUUCCAGUCUAAGUCUCCAAUGUGACAACAUUAUCCUUAAAAUCUUACCCUUGGUCCUAUGCCCUUCGAUCCAUCUUUCAAAUUUGAGCUUCUGAGAGAAGUCUUCUGUGACUACCCCUGCCUCCCUGUGCUCAUCUUUGCCUUGGUCCAAGUGCAGUGUCAUCUACUGAUUUAUGUGUAUUUGGGGAUUCUCCAGUCUGAACUACGUUCCCAGUGAAGUCUCAAGGCAUGGGGAUCUGUCCUGAUUUUUCUCUGAACUUUCAGAAGCCACGUAUAUGACACGUAAGGGCACAAUAUAUCCAAAGUGAGGUCCACACAAAAGUGAAGUUCAUGGGAUAAUUCCAUGAGCUUCUGCUAUUGUGGGAGCUGAGUGGAAAUAGUAUUCCAUGAUUGAGUAUAUCUAAGAAACAGUGAGUCAAAUAACUUCAAACACCUUUUCCUGAAUGACUUCUCAGAUGGUGCAUUUAUAAGAGGGUAAUUAGUAGGGCUUCUUGUCCCGAUUUUAUUUUAGAAUCCUUUUUUAUUCAAGAAAUGUACUUAGAAAAAUUCCAGUCUUAUGACAAUGAUUACUAGUGCAUAGAGAAUACCAAAUACUGGUGCAUAGAGAAUAACCUGGGGAGUUGACAAAUAUUUAGAUUUGUAAGCCUCAUCUUCACAGUGAGUGAGCCAAUAGUUCUUCCAGGGAACUCAGGAAUCUGCAUUUUAAAAAGCAUCCUAAGCGGUGCUUCUUAAACUUUAACUUGAAUAGGAAUUACCUGGGAUUUUGUUAAAAUGCAGAAAUUGAUUGCAUAAAAAUCCAGAAUGCUGGGGCGUUACUAGAUUCUGCAUUUCUAACAGUUCUUAGGUGAAGUUGUCGCUACUGGUCUGAAACCCGCACUUAGAGUAGCAAGGCUUCCAUGAUUCUGACCAUCCAGUGUUCUCCACUUCUGUUAUCAUCACAAAUGUCACUGUCUUCCAAGGUUUCUGUCACUUUCAAUUCAUGAGUGUUGCCUUAUUGGUUCAUAAUGAAAUUCAGAGUUGUAAUUUCUUUCAUUACUUAUUCUACCAUCUGAGAAGUGGAACAGUUAGCAAAUAUGUCAAGAUUUAUCAGGUGCUCUUGUUCUAAUCUUAACACGAUGUCCAGAUAGCUGCAGUCUUCAUAACUCACUAUUCCAUCGCCAGUCUGAGCCAGGUUUCUGAUCUGACUCAGAUACUGCCAUCCAGACCUCCAGUUUUACUGAACGUAUCUGCUACUUCCUUUUUUUGUUAUCGUUGUCAUAUAUUUGACUGUACAUUUGACUUCUACAUAUGUUAUAAGCCCCAUAAAUGUUAUGAAUGUUUU